Molecule: ribosomal RNA, 494 nt
Filed under: uncultured bacterium
Lineage: Bacteria
Description: partial 16S ribosomal RNA
Rfam family: Bacterial small subunit ribosomal RNA
Source: RNAcentral
GACGAACGCUGGCGGCGUGCUUAACACAUGCAAGUCGAACGGUGAAGCGCCUUCCUUUUUGGUGGGUGUGGAUGAGUGGCGAACGGGUGAGUAACACGUGAGUAACCUGCCCCCUUCUUCUGGAUAACCGCAUGAAAGUGUGGCUAAUACGGGAUAUUCUGGGUCUGUCGCAUGAUGGGUCUGGGAAAGAUAUUGUUUCGGUGGGGGAGGGGCUCGCGGCCUAUCAGCUUGUUGGUGGGGUGAUGGCCUACCAAGGCGGUGACGGGUAGCCGGCCUGAGAGGGUGGACGGUCACACUGGGACUGAGACACGGCCCAGACUACUACGGGAGGCAGCAGUGGGGAAUAUUGCACAAUGGGCGCAAGCCUGAUGCAGCGACGCCGCGUGAGGGAUGGAGGCCUUCGGGUUGUGAACCUCUUUCGCCAGUGAAGCAGGCCUGCCUCGUUUGUGGGUGGGUUGACGGUAGCUGGAUAAGAAGCGCCGGCUAACUACGUG